This 498-nucleotide ribosomal RNA is filed under the name uncultured bacterium. RNAcentral describes it as "partial 16S ribosomal RNA". It matches the Rfam family "Bacterial small subunit ribosomal RNA", at positions 30 to 523 of the family's 1533-position model. The record is from RNAcentral.
AUUGAACGCUGGCGGCAUGCCUUACACAUGCAAGUCGAACGGUAACAGGUCUUCGGAUGCUGACGAGUGGCGAACGGGUGAGUAAUACAUCGGAACGUGCCUAGUAGUGGGGGAUAACUACUCGAAAGAGUGGCUAAUACCGCACGAGAUCUACGGAUGAAAGCAGGGGAUCGCAAGACCUUGUGCUACUAGAGCGGCCGAUGGCAGAUUAGGUAGUUGGUGGGAUAAAAGCUUACCAAGCCGACGAUCUGUAGCUGGUCUGAGAGGACGAUCAGCCACACUGGGACUGAGACACGGCCCAGACUCCUACGGGAGGCAGCAGUGGGGAAUUUUGGACAAUGGGCGCAGGCCUGAUCCAGCAAUGCCGCGUGCAGGAUGAAGGCCUUCGGGUUGUAAACUGCUUUUGUACGGAACGAAAAGUCCCGGGUUAAUACCCUGGGGUCAUGACGGUACCGUAAGAAUAAGCACCGGCUAACUACGUGCCAGCCGCCGCCGUAA